CCUAGGGGCGGCAGCAGUGGGGAAUAUUGGACAAUGGGCGAAAGCCUGAUCCAGCCAUGCCGCGUGUGUGAAGAAGGCCUUCGGGUUGUAAAGCACUUUCAGUGGGGAAGAAAGCCUUGGGGCUAAUACCCUCGAGGAAGGACAUCACCCACAGAAGAAGCACCGGCUAACUCCGUGCCAGCAGCCGCGGUAAUACGGAGGGUGCGAGCGUUAAUCGGAAUUACUGGGCGUAAAGCGCGCGUAGGCGGUCUGAUAAGCCGGUUGUGAAAGCCCCGGGCUCAACCUGGGAACGGCAUCCGGAACUGUUAGGCUAGAGUGCAGGAGAGGAAGGUAGAAUUCCCGGUGUAGCGGUGAAAUGCGUAGAGAUCGGGAGGAAUACCAGUGGCGAAGGCGGCCUUCUGGACUGACACUGACGCUGAGGUGCGAAAGCGUGGGUAGCAAACAGGAUUAGAUACCCUAGUAGUC
Molecule: ribosomal RNA, 465 nt
Filed under: Vreelandella stevensii
Lineage: Bacteria; Pseudomonadati; Pseudomonadota; Gammaproteobacteria; Oceanospirillales; Halomonadaceae
Description: partial 16S ribosomal RNA
Rfam family: Bacterial small subunit ribosomal RNA
Source: RNAcentral